GAUGAACGCUAGCUACAGGCUUAACACAUGCAAGUCGAGGGGAAACGGCAUCGAAAGCUUGCUUUUGAUGGGCGUCGACCGGCGCACGGGUAAGUAACGCGUAUCCAACCUGCCCAUCACUUGGGAAUAACCUUGCGAAAGUAAGACUAAUGCCCAAUGACAUCCCACGAAGGCAUCCGAAUGGGAUUAAAGAUUUAUCGGUGAUGGAUGGGGAUGCGUCUGAUUAGCUUGUUGGCGGGGUGACGGCCCACCAAGGCAACGAUCAGUAGGGGUUCUGAGAGGAAGGUCCCCCACAUUGGAACUGAGACACGGUCCAAACUCCUACGGGAGGCAGCAGUGAGGAAUAUUGGUCAAUGGGCGAGAGCCUGAACCAGCCAAGUAGCGUGCAGGAUGACGGCCCUAUGGGUUGUAAACUGCUUUUAUAAGGGAAUAAAGUGGGUCACGUGUGACUUUUUGCAUGUACCUUAUGAAUAAGGACCGGCUAAUUCCGUG
This 492-nucleotide ribosomal RNA is filed under the name uncultured bacterium. Its description in RNAcentral is "partial 16S ribosomal RNA". It matches the Rfam family "Bacterial small subunit ribosomal RNA", at positions 28 to 507 of the family's 1533-position model. The record is from RNAcentral.